Molecule: ribosomal RNA, 446 nt
Filed under: uncultured bacterium
Lineage: Bacteria
Description: bacterial SSU rRNA
Rfam family: Bacterial small subunit ribosomal RNA
Source: RNAcentral
GGCCAGACUCCUACGGGAGGCAGCAGUGGGGAAUAUUGCACAAUGGGGGAAACCCUGAUGCAGCGACGCCGCGUGAGUGAAGAAGUAUUUCGGUAUGUAAAGCUCUAUCAGCAGGGAAGAAAAUGACGGUACCUGACUAAGAAGCCCCGGCUAACUACGUGCCAGCAGCCGCGGUAAUACGUAGGGGGCAAGCGUUAUCCGGAUUUACUGGGUGUAAAGGGAGCGUAGACGGCAAUACAAGUCGGAAGUGAAAUACCCGGGCUCAACCUGGGAACUGCUUUGGAAACUGUAUGGCUGGAGUGCUGGAGAGGUAAGCGGAAUUCCUAGUGUAGCGGUGAAAUGCGUAGAUAUUAGGAGGAACACCAGUGGCGAAGGCGGCUUACUGGACAGUAACUGACGUUGAGGCUCGAAAGCGUGGGGAGCAAACAGGAUUAGAUACCCCAGUA